Coregonus clupeaformis (lake whitefish) is the source of this 768-nucleotide long non-coding RNA. RefSeq lists it as uncharacterized. The transcript has 9 exons. The record is from RefSeq and is a predicted model, not a curated record. Lineage: Eukaryota; Metazoa; Chordata; Actinopteri; Salmoniformes; Salmonidae.
UUUUCAGCCCAUUUAAAUGUUGAGCUCGAGGUGAUUCAGUUCUCCAACCGCUAGAAAGUGUCCGAGGUCAGGGGGUGUCUGAUGUUUGGGGAAAAUUAGCUAGCUAGCUAGAUUGAUUUGUUUUUGGAUUGUUCAGCAUCUGAUGACCUAACGUGGUGGUGAAGGUGUGGGAUUCUUGACACAGGGAGCCAGGUAAAUGAGUUUGGUGGUGCCCAGGGACAGUCUGCCAUUAUCUGUAUGACCUUUGACCCCAAAGGAAGGAGACUGGUCACUGUGGGGAGAGAUGGCUUUCUUAAGAUCUGGAACUUUAACAAUGGUCAGUGUCUGAAGAUACUUAAAAGGGAUGGGGAGUGCAACGAGGUGUGUGAUUGCAGCUACCUGACAGUCCACAGAAACACGUGUGUGAUGUCUGUUGGAUGGGACCGCAGGAUUGACAUCUGCUCUGAUUCACCAGAAGAGCCUCACUACGUCCAGAAGCCUCAGACCUCAUGGCAAGACGAUCUGGGAUGGAUACCAGUGCUCCCAGCAUCAUCUUCUUGAGGAGCCAAGCAUUACAUGCUGAGUUCUCCUCCGCUUCAUGCCUCCUGUCCUCAGGACCCUCAGGUUACAUUCAUUUCUCGAACGUGCUCAACGGCGGGAAAUUCAUGGCCAACUUCAAGGCAUCUAGGUUCCAGCAGCAGAUCCCUAAACUGGCAGUGACAAAGGAAGACACCGCACUGUAUGUGGCUGACCAACUUGGCUAUGCUCUUGGCUCAGAGAACCCCCCCC